This is a non-coding RNA of Pelobates cultripes (western spadefoot toad), 308 nucleotides long. The record is from the annotation of a GenBank genome assembly. NCBI's taxonomy places the organism in Eukaryota, Metazoa, Chordata, Amphibia, Anura, Pelobatidae.
UGGGAGUGUAAGGACAUUGUCCUCUUUUGGGAAACGAUAAAAAUGUACAUAACAAUAAUAUUGGGAGACCAGGCCGACUGGUCAGCUGAUCGGGCCCUUUUGCACAUUUCAUCCAGACCAAUCUCACUAUACAAAAAAUCGAUCCUCCGUCAUUUACUGAAUGCAACCAAGCUCCUUAUCCUGAAGUACUGGAGAUGGUCAGAGGUCCCCAGGAGAGAUGAGUGGACCCAUAGGGUCAAGUACAUUCAGACAGCGUAAGCACUCUAUGCUACACUGUUGGGAAGGGGGGCUAGACACAUGGAGACAUG